CCCUUAGAUGUUCUGGGCCGCACGCGCGCUACACUGAUGCAUUCAACGAGCCUAUCCUUGACCGACAGGUCCGGGUAAUCUUUGAAUCUGCAUCGUGACGGGGAUAGAUUAUUGCAAUUAUUAAUCUUCAACGAGGAAUGCCUAGUAGGCGCAAGUCAUCAGCUUGCGUCGAUUACGUCCCUGCCCUUUGUACACACCGCCCGUCGCGCCUACCGAUUGGGUGUGCUGGUGAAAUGUUCGGAUCGGCCGUUUGUCGCGGUUUCCGCGGCUCGUGGCUGAGAAGUUCAUUAAACCCUCCCACCUAGAGGAAGGAGAAGUCGUAACA
This 325-nucleotide ribosomal RNA is filed under the name uncultured eukaryote. RNAcentral describes it as "partial 18S ribosomal RNA". It matches the Rfam family "Eukaryotic small subunit ribosomal RNA", at positions 1470 to 1796 of the family's 1831-position model. The record is from RNAcentral.